This 364-nucleotide ribosomal RNA is filed under the name uncultured bacterium. Its description in RNAcentral is "bacterial SSU rRNA". It matches the Rfam family "Bacterial small subunit ribosomal RNA", at positions 774 to 1135 of the family's 1533-position model. The record is from RNAcentral.
AGGAAAUAGAUACCCUGGUAGUCCUGGCCCUAAACGAUGAAUGCUUGGUGUGGCGGGUAUCGAUCCCUGCCGUGCCGAAAGCUAACGCAUUAAGCAUUCCGCCUGGGGAGUACGGUCGCAAGGCUAGAAACUCAAAGGAAUUGACGGGGGCCCGCACAAGCGGUGGAGCAUGUGGUUUAAUUCGACGCAACGCGAAGAACCUUACCCAGGCUUGAACUGCAGAUGACAUCCUACGAAAGUAGGCUUCCGCAAGGACAUCUGUAGAGGUGCUGCAUGGCUGUCGUCAGCUCGUGUCGUGAGAUGUUGGUUUAAGUCCCGCAACGAGCGCAACCCUUGUCUUCUGUUGCCAUCGGGUUAUGCCGGG